This 253-nucleotide ribosomal RNA is filed under the name uncultured bacterium. RNAcentral describes it as "partial 16S ribosomal RNA". It matches the Rfam family "Bacterial small subunit ribosomal RNA", at positions 524 to 776 of the family's 1533-position model. The record is from RNAcentral.
UACGGAGGGUGCAAGCGUUAAUCGGAAUCACUGGGCGUAAAGCGCGCGUAGGUGGCUAUUUAAGUCAGAUGUGAAAGCCCUGGGCUCAACCUGGGAAUGGCAUUUGAUACUGGAUAGCUAGAGUAUGGUAGAGGUGAGUGGAAUUUCAGGUGUAGCGGUGAAAUGCUUAGGUAUGACAUAGAACACCAAUUGCGAAGGCAGCUUACUACACAAUGAUUGACGCUGAGGCACGAAAGCGUGGGGAUCAAACAGG